GUUCACCGACAGGGGAGCGCGACAGCGCUGAGAGUGCGGGCAACCGCAGACCCUCGGACCUGAUCUGGGUAAUGCCAGCGAAGGGAGUCCUAGAUGACUACCG
RNAcentral lists this non-coding RNA (103 nucleotides) under Microlunatus soli. RNAcentral's name for it is "TPP sequence". It matches the Rfam family "TPP riboswitch aptamer (THI element)". From Rfam's summary of the family: Vitamin B(1) in its active form thiamin pyrophosphate (TPP) is an essential coenzyme that is synthesised by coupling of pyrimidine and thiazole moieties in bacteria. The previously detected thiamin-regulatory element, thi box was extended, resulting in a new, highly conserved RNA secondary structure, the THI element, which is widely distributed in eubacteria and also occurs in some archaea. The record is from Rfam by way of RNAcentral. Lineage: Bacteria; Bacillati; Actinomycetota; Actinomycetes; Propionibacteriales; Propionibacteriaceae.